RNAcentral lists this ribosomal RNA (469 nucleotides) under uncultured Syntrophorhabdaceae bacterium. RNAcentral describes it as "bacterial SSU rRNA". It matches the Rfam family "Bacterial small subunit ribosomal RNA", at positions 338 to 797 of the family's 1533-position model. The record is from RNAcentral. Lineage: Bacteria; Pseudomonadati; Thermodesulfobacteriota; Syntrophorhabdia; Syntrophorhabdales; Syntrophorhabdaceae.
CCUACGGGUGGCAGCAGUGGGGAAUAUUGGGCAAUGGGCGAAAGCCUGACCCAGCGACGCCGUGUGGGCGAUGAAGGCCUUCGGGUUGUAAAGCCCUGUGAGGUGGGAAGAAGGGUCCAGAGGCCAAUACCCUUUGGACCUUGACGGUACCACCAGAGGAAGCACCGGCUAACUCCGUGCCAGCAGCCGCGGUAAUACGGAGGGUGCAAGCGUUGUUCGGAAUUACUGGGCGUAAAGGGCGCGUAGGUGGUUGUGUAAGUCAGGUGGGAAAUCCCGAGGCUCAACCUCGGAACUGCAUCUGAAACUGCACGACUCGAGUACAGCAGAGGGAAACGGAAUUCCUGGUGUAGAGGUGAAAUUCGUAGAUAUCAGGAGGAACACCGGUGGCGAAGGCGGUUUCCUGGGCUGAUACUGACACUGAGGCGCGAAAGCGUGGGGAGCAAACAGGAUUAGAUACCCGAGUAGUCCG